RNAcentral lists this ribosomal RNA (155 nucleotides) under Acetobacter pasteurianus. RNAcentral describes it as "partial 16S rRNA". It matches the Rfam family "Bacterial small subunit ribosomal RNA", at positions 1211 to 1366 of the family's 1533-position model. Lineage: Bacteria; Pseudomonadati; Pseudomonadota; Alphaproteobacteria; Acetobacterales; Acetobacteraceae. The record is from RNAcentral.
GGGCUACACACGUGCUACAAUGGCGGUGACAGUGGGAAGCUAGAUGGCGACAUCGUGCUGAUCUCAAAAAACCGUCUCAGUUCGGAUUGCACUCUGCAACUCGAGUGCAUGAAGGUGGAAUCGCUAGUAAUCGCGGAUCAGCAUGCCGCGGUGAA